This 465-nucleotide ribosomal RNA is filed under the name uncultured bacterium. Its description in RNAcentral is "partial 16S ribosomal RNA". It matches the Rfam family "Bacterial small subunit ribosomal RNA", at positions 28 to 507 of the family's 1533-position model. The record is from RNAcentral.
GACGAACGCUGGCGGCGUGCUUAACACAUGCAAGUCGAACGGAAAGGCCCUGCUUGCAGGGUACUCGAGUGGCGAACGGGUGAGUAACACGUGGGUGAUCUGCCCUGCACUUCGGGAUAAGCCUGGGAAACUGGGUCUAAUACCGGAUAGGAGCCAUUUUUAGUGUGAUGGUUGGAAAGUUUUUUCGGUGUAGGAUGAGCUCGCGGCCUAUCAGCUUGUUGGUGGGGUAAUGGCCUACCAAGGCGGCGACGGGUAGCCGGCCUGAGAGGGUGGACGGCCACAUUGGGACUGAGAUACGGCCCAGACUCCUACGGGAGGCAGCAGUGGGGAAUAUUGCACAAUGGGCGCAAGCCUGAUGCAGCGACGCCGCGUGGGGGAUGACGGCCUUCGGGUUGUAAACUCCAUUCGCUAGGGACGAAGCUUUUUGUGACGGUACCUAGAUAAGAAGCACCGGCUAACUACGUG